RNAcentral lists this ribosomal RNA (1005 nucleotides) under Triticum aestivum (bread wheat). Its description in RNAcentral is "partial small subunit ribosomal RNA". Lineage: Eukaryota; Viridiplantae; Streptophyta; Magnoliopsida; Poales; Poaceae. The record is from RNAcentral.
AUGGACGUUAAGACAGCUUUCCUAAAUGGAGAGUUGGAGGAGGAAAUUUACAUGGAACAACCCGAUGGUUUUGUAGUAGAUGGUCAGGAAGGAAAAGUGUGUAAAUUGUUGAAAUCUUUGUAUGGUUUGAGACAAGCACCUAAGCAGUGGCACGAGAAGUUCGAAAGAACUUUGACAUCUAUGGGCUUUGUUGCAAACGAAGCCGACAAGUGUGUGUACUAUCGCCAUGGUGGGGGCGAAGGAGUUAUAUUAUGUUUGUAUGUUGAUGCCAUACUUAUAUUUGGAACAAAUCUCAAGGUCAUUCAGGAAGUGGAAGAUUUUCUGAAUCAAAACUUUGAGAUGAAAGACUUUGGAGUAGCUGAUGUUAUCUUGAACAUCAAGCUUUUAAGAGGUGGUGAUGGUGGGAUCACUCUCUUGCAGUCUCACUAUGUGGAGAAGAUUCUGGAUCGCUUUGGAUAUUCAGAUUGCAAACCUUCUCCGACACCUUAUGAUCCGAGUGUUUUAAUUCGGAAGAACGAAGGAGAAACAAAGGAUCAAUUGAGAUAUUUUCAAAUCAUUGGCUCGCUUAUGUAUUUAGCUAGUGCUACGAGGCCUGACAUCUCGUUUUCCGUGAGUAAACUAAGCCGGUUUGUUUCAAACCCGGGAGAUGUUCAUUGGCAUGCACUUGAGAGAAUAAUGCGCUAUCUGAAAGGUACUGCGAGUUAUGGGCUUCACUAUACCGGGUAUCCAAGAGUACUUGAAGGUUAUAGUGAUGCAAAUUGGAUAUCUGAUGCUGAUGAGCUUAAAGCGACAAAUGGUUAUGUGUUUACACUUGGUGGUGCUGCUGUUUCCUGGAAACACGUGAGAAGGAGACUGAAAUCUGUCAGGUUCAUGAGAAACUCCGGAGUUAUAGCGUUGGACUAUAUAAACACAUCGAAGAAUCUGGCAGAUCCCUCUACAAAGGGUUUAUCACAAAAUGUGAUAGACAAUGCAUCGAAGGAGAUGGGAUUGAGACCCACUAUAUAA